Molecule: ribosomal RNA, 482 nt
Filed under: uncultured bacterium
Lineage: Bacteria
Description: partial 16S ribosomal RNA
Rfam family: Bacterial small subunit ribosomal RNA
Source: RNAcentral
GAUGAACGCUAGCGGCAGGCCUAAUACAUGCAAGUCGAACGAGAUUAAGAGGCUUGCUUCUUAUGAAAGUGGCGCACGGGUGCGUAACGCGUAUGCAACCUACCUUAAUCAGGGGGAUAGCCCGAAGAAAUUCGGAUUAAGACCGCAUAAAAACACAGGAUAGCAUUAUCCAAUGUUCAAAUAUUUAUAGGAUUAAGAUGGGCAUGCGUGUCAUUAGCUAGUUGGCGGGGUAACGGCCCACCAAGGCGACGAUGACUAGGGGAUCUGAGAGGAUGACCCCCCACAUUGGUACUGAGACACGGACAAGACUCCUACGGGAGGCAGCAGUAAGGAAUAUUGGUCAAUGGAGGGAACUCUGAACCAGCCAUGCCGCGUGCAGGAAGACAGCCCUCUGGGUCGUAAACUGCUUUUAUUCGGGAAUAAACCUUUCUACGUGUAGGAAGCUGAAUGUACCGAAGGAAUAAGGAUCGGCUAACUCCGUG